CAAAGAAGAUGUUUGUUUUGGCCUAAAUUUUCCUUUGCCUGUGAGGGACAAUUCCACAACUCGGCAAGGGACAUAUGUGGGUCGAGAACAGCACAUGGGCAGAGGAAGGAGUACAACUCGUUACAAAAGGAAACUGCAAGAAGACACAAACAGUCUGCAGAAUGUGAAGAAAACCUUCUCGAAAAUUUGCCCUACAUGCUG
Long non-coding RNA from Protopterus annectens (West African lungfish), 201 nucleotides. RefSeq lists it as uncharacterized. Lineage: Eukaryota; Metazoa; Chordata; Ceratodontiformes; Protopteridae. The transcript has 3 exons. The record is from RefSeq and is a predicted model, not a curated record.